RNAcentral lists this ribosomal RNA (492 nucleotides) under uncultured bacterium. RNAcentral's name for it is "partial 16S ribosomal RNA". It matches the Rfam family "Bacterial small subunit ribosomal RNA", at positions 29 to 507 of the family's 1533-position model. The record is from RNAcentral.
ACGAACGCUGGCGGCGUGCUUCACACAUGCCAGUCGAACGGAAAGGCCUGCUUUCCCUUGUGGAUUGCGGGUGCUCGAGUGGCGAACGGGUGAGUAACACGUGAGUGAUCUGCCCCCAACUUGGGUAUAAGCCUGGGAAACUGGGUCUAAUUCCCGAUAGGACUGCAGGGUGGUGCCUGUGGUGGAAAACGAUUUUCUAGUGGUUGGGGAUGAGCUCGCGGCCUAUCAGCUUGUUGGUGGGGUAAUGGCCUGCCAAGGCGGCGACGGGUAGCCGGCCUGAGAGGGUGGACGGCCACAUUGGGACUGAGAUACGGCCCAGACUCCUACGGGAGGCAGCAGUGGGGAAUAUUGCACAAUGGGCGGAAGCCUGAUGCAGCGACGCCGCGUGGGGAUGACGGCCUUCGGGUUGUAAACUCCUUUCGACCGCGAGGAAGCCACCUGGUUGGAAGGGUGGUGACGGUAGUGGUAGAAGAAGCACCGGCUAACUACGUG